UUAAGCCUACGGGGCGCAGCAGUGGGGAAUAUUGCACAAUGGGGGAAACCCUGAUGCAGCGACGCCGCGUGAGCGAUGAAGUAUUUCGGUAUGUAAAGCUCUAUCAGCGGGGAAGAAAAUGACGGUACCUGACUAAGAAGCCCCGGCUAACUACGUGCCAGCAGCCGCGGUAAUACGUAGGGGGCAAGCGUUAUCCGGAUUUACUGGGGGUAAAGGGAGCGUAGACGGUCCUGCAAGCCAGAUGUGAAAGCCCGGGGCUCCACCCCGGGACUGCAUUUGGAACUGUAAGGCUAGAGUGUCGGAGG
This 305-nucleotide ribosomal RNA is filed under the name uncultured bacterium. RNAcentral describes it as "bacterial SSU rRNA". It matches the Rfam family "Bacterial small subunit ribosomal RNA", at positions 333 to 655 of the family's 1533-position model. The record is from RNAcentral.